AGCCUUUAGCAACACAAGUAUUAAAGGUCCCGCCUGCCCAGUGAGAUAUUCAACGGCCGCGGUAUUCUAACCGUGCAAAGGUAGCGUAAUCACUUGUCUUCUAAAUAAAGACUAGUAUGAACGGCUAAAUGAGGACAAACCUGUCUCAUGCAACCAAUCAGUGAAACUGAUCUCCCAGUACAAAAGCUGGGAUUAACCCAUAAGACGAGAAGACCCUGUGGAGCUUUAAACCAACCACUAACACACGAACCCUACAAACCAUAGUGAUAGGUUUUGAGUUGGGGCGACUUCGGAAUCAACACACCUUCCGAGCUUAAAGGCAACACCUUUCACCAAGGCCAACAAGCCAAAGCAUAUCAAACGACCCAGUUAAACUGAUCAACGAACCAAGUUACCCCAGGGAUAACAGCGCCAUCUUCUUCAAGAGUCCAUAUCGACAAGAAGGAUUACGACCUCGAUGUUGGAUCAGGACACCCAAAUGGUGCAGCCGCUAUUAUAGGUUCGUUUGUUCAACGAUUAACAGUCCUACGU
Molecule: ribosomal RNA, 531 nt
Filed under: Lamprolepis smaragdina
Lineage: Eukaryota; Metazoa; Chordata; Lepidosauria; Squamata; Scincidae
Description: partial large subunit ribosomal RNA
Rfam family: Bacterial large subunit ribosomal RNA
Source: RNAcentral